This 120-nucleotide non-coding RNA is filed under the name Salmonella enterica subsp. enterica serovar Newport str. SL254. RNAcentral also lists the same sequence under 1 other name. The record is from RNAcentral. Lineage: Bacteria; Pseudomonadati; Pseudomonadota; Gammaproteobacteria; Enterobacterales; Enterobacteriaceae.
AGUUAUUCGCGUAGGGUACAGAGGUAAGAUGUUCUAUCUUUCAGACCUUUUACUUCACGUAAUCGGAUUUGGCUGAAUAUUUUAGCCGCCCCAGUCAGUUUAUGACUGGGGCGUUUUUUA